ACCUGUUGAGAGACCCCUGAGCAAUUCACCAGUCUUCACAGAAUCCCUGCUAGAAGGCAGAUCUAAAGAAGCCAUCUAUCUAUCCCCGUUGAAGAUUUUCAUCAAGAUAUUGAGAAAAUAAUGCUUUGCCUGAUCACCUAGGAAAAUCCUAGUUUGCUUUGCAUGUCUCAUCCAUGCCUAACACUUUCAAAAUGUACACACAAGUUUCUUGCAGUUUUCUUGCACACACCAGUAAAGCUGUUGGAGAAAAGUAAGCCAGAGAGGGUCUCUUUGAUUUUCUUACUGUGAGCACGAAGCAGAAGUCUUCAGAACAAAUGGACUCAAAUUUUUAAGGCAGAAAAAAAGAUGUUUUAACUGAGCUGAAGAGUCUCAUGAGAUGAAAACACAAAUGGGAAUAGUAGAUCAUAUAAGCUAGACACCAUAUAAUUUCUCAGGAACUGUACGACUGUAUACAGACAUUAAGUCUGUAAAUAGUGAAGCUGCCAUCUCUCACAACAGGUCUGUUAACUGGAGAAUCAGGGUAGAAAUGUUUUUCAAACUAGUCUUCAGAACUUACCCUGGGAUUUACAUCACUUCCCUUAUUGGCAGCUAAAAGAAGUAUUACCAGUCAGGUUUUAUUUCUAUAUUUCAUCCAUUAGACUUAGAUAUUCAUCUGUGCAAAAGAUUAAGUCCUUAAUUUAAAUUUAUUUUAUCCCUAUUUUGUCCCUUUUGUACAUUACCUGCAUUUUUCAGCAGUUUGCCGACUUUCCUAGCUUAACCCUUUCUCUUACCAUAUAAACCUUUCCUUAUAAUGGCACUUUGGGUUUUUUGUGGAAGUAAGUCCCCCAUUUUUAUUGUUUAUCUCUAAUAGUCUAGUAAUCAACAUUACAGUGUGUUCCAGACAGGAAAGUGUUUCAAAUAGUGACAUUGUAUUGUGUGCUCAUUGCGUUAUUUUGUGUCUUAAAUGACCAUAAUAUUGUAUUGGAUGUUCUUAAUGACACAAUUGUUUUGCCAAGCCUAAAGCUUGCAUCCAUGUGAAUAUAUUAAAAAUUACUUUGACCUCUUCCUUCUGCAGUAAAAUAUGCUUUGCAUUGCAAAGCAUAUUUUACUGCAAUAAAUUUUGCAAUUAUUUUUGCAAUUAUUUUUAUAAUUUUAUUGUUUCGCAAUUAUUAAAAAAUGCAAUAAUUUUGCAAUUAUUUUUGCAAAAAAAAUAAGCAUUGCAGCAAUGCUGAAUCAUAUGUUUUAAGGCCUUGUAUUUACCAUGUGUGACAUGAAAAGUGAUUUUGGUUAUAAAUACUAGGAAAUAUGAUUGGAAUAUGAUUGGAAAUAAAUAAUUCAGUCUUGGAAAAUAAUUUCUCAAUGCCUAUCAGCUGAAGCCAUGUUUUGCAGCUUCACUGUCUUUUAGUUUCCUCACUUACAUGUUUCAAAUUCAUCCUAAAAUAAAGAGGGUAUAAUUUUUCUUAGUUGAAACCACCAGUAUACAAUUUGAGGUUUAUAUUCCUUUGAGGUCCCUUUGUGGUAUUCCUCUUUUUAAAAAUCUCACAACUCUUCCUGGCUUAAUAAAAAAUCUGCACAUUUCCUCAAUGUGGUGUUUGUUCCCCUUUCUGGAAACUUAAUGAAGUUAUUGAAUAAGGUCAUACGUUUUACUAGUGACUAGUGUCCCAAAGCUUGCAUAUCUGCAGAAAAUAGUAUGUUGUAAACAUAGGUGUGAAUUGUCUUCAUGAUAAUUGUUUUAUAUCCUUCCCUAGACAGAUGUUGUUGAUGCAAAGGAUGUAUUAUGCUGAUUUCUAAGUCAGGGUUUGGCUGUUAUUCUGAACAUAUCCUUCCUUACUUGCUCCACAGUUUGUAGCUAAACACAAUGUCUGCAGGCUGUUUUUUUCAGGAUAUUUUUAGAAUAAAUAAUUGAGAAUUGUAGGAUUGCUUCAACUUGACUCCUACACCUCUUGCAUGCAUAGGAAACAAUUGAGACAAAAUGGAAUGAGUAUCUCAGAAAUGGAAUCGCCAGCCUGCCUGAUGUUCUUUGGUGGUUAUGGGUCAGGUUGAACUGCGGGAGGGAACCAGUAGGAUAUUCCUUUAAAUUAGGUUCAACGAGAGAGAAAUCAACUUCACAUAUGUAUGAAAAGACUGAAGAAACAACUUUUAAAUUUUAGAUUGUAAUCUUUA
Long non-coding RNA from Parus major (Great Tit), 2142 nucleotides. RefSeq lists it as uncharacterized. The transcript has 2 exons. Lineage: Eukaryota; Metazoa; Chordata; Aves; Passeriformes; Paridae. The record is from RefSeq and is a predicted model, not a curated record.